This 673-nucleotide ribosomal RNA is filed under the name Bacillus sp. Al-Dhabi-12. RNAcentral's name for it is "bacterial SSU rRNA". It matches the Rfam family "Bacterial small subunit ribosomal RNA", at positions 58 to 715 of the family's 1533-position model. Lineage: Bacteria; Bacillati; Bacillota; Bacilli; Caryophanales; Bacillaceae. The record is from RNAcentral.
CAAGUCGAGCGGACAGAUGGGAGCUUGCUCCCUGAUGUUAGCGGCGGACGGGUGAGUAACACGUGGGUAACCUGCCUGUAAGACUGGGAUAACUCCGGGAAACCGGGGCUAAUACCGGAUGCUUGUUUGAACCGCAUGGUUCAAACAUAAAAGGUGGCUUCGGCUACCACUUACAGAUGGACCCGCGGCGCAUUAGCUAGUUGGUGAGGUAACGGCUCACCAAGGCAACGAUGCGUAGCCGACCUGAGAGGGUGAUCGGCCACACUGGGACUGAGACACGGCCCAGACUCCUACGGGAGGCAGCAGUAGGGAAUCUUCCGCAAUGGACGAAAGUCUGACGGAGCAACGCCGCGUGAGUGAUGAAGGUUUUCGGAUCGUAAAGCUCUGUUGUUAGGGAAGAACAAGUACCGUUCGAAUAGGGCGGUACCUUGACGGUACCUAACCAGAAAGCCACGGCUAACUACGUGCCAGCAGCCGCGGUAAUACGUAGGUGGCAAGCGUUGUCCGGAAUUAUUGGGCGUAAAGGGCUCGCACGCGGUUCCUUAAGUCUGAUGUGAAAGCCCCCGGCUCAACCGGGGAGGGUCAUUGGAAACUGGGGAACUUGAGUGCAGAGAGGAGAGUGAAUUCCACGUGUAGCGGUGAAAUGCGUAGAGAUGUGGAGGAACACCAGUGG